Molecule: ribosomal RNA, 333 nt
Filed under: Acanthamoeba castellanii
Lineage: Eukaryota; Discosea; Longamoebia; Acanthamoebidae
Description: SSU rRNA
Rfam family: Eukaryotic small subunit ribosomal RNA
Source: RNAcentral
GAGGACUAGGGUAAUGAUUAAUAGGGAUAGUUGGGGGCAUUAAUAUUUAAUUGUCAGAGGUGAAAUUCUUGGAUUUAUGAAAGAUUAACUUCUGCGAAAGCAUCUGCCAAGGAUGUUUUCAUUAAUCAAGAACGAAAGUUAGGGGAUCGAAGACGAUCAGAUACCGUCGUAGUCUUAACCAUAAACGAUGCCGACCAGCGAUUAGGAGACGUUGAAUACAAAACACCACCAUCGGCGCGGUCGUCCUUGGCGUCUCGGUCCUUCACGGGGCCGGGGCGCGGGGGCGGCUUAGCCCGGUGGCACCGGUGAAUGACUCCCCUAGCAGCUUGUGAG